AGAGUUUAAAAUAGUUGAAAGUCAGUUUUAAGAAAAACAGUAGGAAGAUUUAAGAGCUAGCUUGAGAGAAUAAUGAUUGAAAAAAUUGAAAGAAUUCCUUUGAAAUCAUUUAAAAACUGACUAGUUUUAAACAGCGCAUCACACAAACAGGGACAACGGGGAUGGGAUCAAAUAAGUAGAGUGAACUACACAAACAACAUAUUGAAGCAGAGUAAUCAAGCAUAGUUGCAGACAAGGGUUCAAUUCUUACUGCACUAAACCUCAAUACAAUUAACCUCAUGAAGAGGUUUUUAGGCUAAUCAAGUAGCCAAGCAGACGUGGAUACAUUGUAUUGACACACAAGGAAAAGUAAACAGAUAUUGAGACAAGGAAUGGGGUAAGGGGGAACAUGAUAAGCUAAACUGGUAAGGGCAUGCUAGUGGCAAUAAGAACAGCAGAACCAUCGAUAAAAGCACACAAGGAACAAGAUGAAGUGCAAGAGUAACAAAAACAUAUUGUUUUGGAGACUAUAUAUUAGAUGAAUAACAUACCAGUUCCACGCAAAAAGAACACAAAGAGAAAAAAUGCACAAGAUGAGCAGAGUGAGCAGAGAAUGAGGGCAGCAAUGUGAGAACAGCAGUGCAGAGAAGUAAACAGCAGGCAAAAACCCAAGUAACCAAUGCAGUAGAACCCUAGUAGUGUAGAAAUAAACAGCCAAGAUUACUCAAUCUUGGCUUUCAGAAGAUUGAUUGAGAGACUUUGUAGAAGAAACAAUAGAGAAAUAGCGAGCAUUGAGUGUUAUUGAAAGGGAGUUCAUAGAGAUUGUAAUGCAUGUUUGUGUGUUAUGCAAAGAGGAUGGGGGUACUUAAAUAAACUAAAAACGAGUAAACAAACAAGGAAGAAAUCUAUAAUUCAGGAACAAGGUAUAAAUCAUAAUCAAAUCAGCAUAACCCUUCAAUUAAGGAAUCAAAGUUAUACAGUAACAAACAGUAGUUUUAGAAAGAAAGGAAUCAAUCAGACUACUGCAUCUACCAUAGUAGGAGUAGUAAAGCAUGUAUCAUGUAAUAAGGGCUAAAUACAUAGUAUUUCAACUAAGGAAAAU
RNAcentral lists this long non-coding RNA (1081 nucleotides) under Nicotiana benthamiana. RNAcentral's name for it is "long non-coding RNA (NBEN_LNC032409)". The record is from RNAcentral. Lineage: Eukaryota; Viridiplantae; Streptophyta; Magnoliopsida; Solanales; Solanaceae.